AACGAUGGAGGAGGAGAUGACGGCGGCGAUAGAUCGAGGCGACAAGGAGGAGGGCCGGGAUUAGAGAGGACCCAGCGGCGGCACCCGACCUGUGUGUGGCAGCGCGCGAGGGGAGGCCAGGGGAGGGUGCCGAGGGUGCCACGGCGCGCGGAGGUAAGGGGCGAUGACGACGUCGAGGAGGAUGGCGCGGAUGAGGCGGGCCGGCGCGGUGGCGACGACAGGACGACGACCGGAAGAUGGAGAAGAAGAGGUGGGGGAGUGAAGUGAGGAGGAAGAAGGGGGCGGAGCCAGGCGUACUAGUUUUGUAGUUUUAAUUUAUAUAUGUUUUAAGUUAUUUUGUACUAGUGUUGUUAAACAAAAAUAAAAACUUAUUUUGAACAUGCAAAAAUAUAUUAAAUUAGUAAGUAUAUUUAAAAUAAGUUUGAAUCAGCCAUUAAUUCUAUGCUAGUUGAUUAAAUUUCUAAAAUAAUUAUUUUAAUGCAUCAAUAUCAUCAACAAACUCUUCA
This 506-nucleotide long non-coding RNA is filed under the name Setaria viridis. RNAcentral's name for it is "long non-coding RNA (SVIR_LNC001666)". Lineage: Eukaryota; Viridiplantae; Streptophyta; Magnoliopsida; Poales; Poaceae. The record is from RNAcentral.